CGAUCAGUCGAACACCGUCCAGGAAUGCGUCUCCGAAUUCAUUAGCUUCGUCACCAGCGAAAGGAUACAUGUAGAUGUAGCAAUUGUUUUGUAAGAGCCAAAGAAAAUGUACAUCGGCUUGGGUUAGCAGUUGCUAUUUCAUCCCACAGAUGGAGACGCUAUUGAUAUUGAGUAAUCUUCAAAGAAAGUCACCUCUUCAGAGAAGCAAUAUGGCAGCAUUCGUUAAGCACUUUCCAAGGUACGGACUUCACCAAUCCUAGGUUUUAGUUUGUUUCUAAUUUAUUGAGUUUUUAGGGGCAUAUUAUGUAAUUAAAGGGGAAGGAGGGGUCCAAUUUGGUUUCGAAAUCUUGAAUCUGAUCAAAUGAAAGAAUCAAAAUUCAAAGAUAAUAUGCCACCAAUCAUAGGACUCUGACUUCCAACUCUGCUGCUGCACUGAAGGAUCAUACUUUUCUUCAUACAUUGGAAACAUUUUUUGUUUUUUUUGGUUUUUUUUACUGAUAUUAGUAGCUUUUUAGGGUUGAACUAUUUGAUUUCACAGAUUCAUUACAGACACAUUACAUAGUUACAUUUUAAAUUCGUAUUUCAUAACUUGGUUGCUUGAUUCUAAUGUCGAUUCGUUACAACAGAAGCCAGACCUGA
RNAcentral lists this small RNA (639 nucleotides) under Malus domestica (apple). RNAcentral describes it as "sRNA MD03G0229000". The record is from RNAcentral. Lineage: Eukaryota; Viridiplantae; Streptophyta; Magnoliopsida; Rosales; Rosaceae.